This 369-nucleotide ribosomal RNA is filed under the name uncultured bacterium. Its description in RNAcentral is "partial 16S ribosomal RNA". It matches the Rfam family "Bacterial small subunit ribosomal RNA", at positions 338 to 723 of the family's 1533-position model. The record is from RNAcentral.
CCUACGGGUGGCAGCAGUGGGGAAUAUUGCACAAUGGGGGAAACCCUGAUGCAGCGACGCCGCGUGAGUGAAGAAGUAGUUCGGUAUGUAAAGCUCUAUCAGCAGGGAAGAAAAAACACGGUACCUGACUAAGAGGCCCCGGCUAACUACGUGCCAGCAGCCGCGGUAAUACGGAGGGGGCAAGCGUUAUCCGGAUUUACUGGGUGUAAAGGGAGCGUAUACGGCGCGGCAAGUCUUAAGUGAAAGGCAGGGGCUUAACCCCCGCACUGCUUUGGAAACUGCCAUGCUAGAGGGCUGGAGAGGUAAGUGGAAUGCGUAGUGUAGCGGGGAAAUGCGGAGAUAUUACGAGGAACACCAGUGGGGAAGGCG